RNAcentral lists this ribosomal RNA (253 nucleotides) under uncultured bacterium. RNAcentral describes it as "partial 16S ribosomal RNA". It matches the Rfam family "Bacterial small subunit ribosomal RNA", at positions 524 to 776 of the family's 1533-position model. The record is from RNAcentral.
UACGGAGGGUGCAAGCGUUGCUCGGAAUUAUUGGGCGUAAAGGGUAGGUAGGUGGUCUCAUUUGUCUGGGGUGAAAGCCUUGAGCUUAACUCGAGAAGUGCCCCAGAAACGGUGAGACUGGAGUCCUGGAGAGGGUCGUGGAAUUCCCGGUGUAGCGGUGAAAUGCGUAGAGAUCGGGAGGAACACCAGAGGCGAAGGCGGCGACCUGGACCAACACUGACACUGAAAAGCGAAAGCCAGGGGAGCAAACGGG